GUAGGGUCCGAGCGUUGUCCGGAAUUACUGGGCGUAAAGAGCUUGUAGGCGGUUCGUCGCGUCGUUUGUGAAAACUUGGGGCUCAACCUUAAGCUUGCAGGCGAUACGGGCGGACUAGAGUACUUCAGGGGAGACUGGAAUUCCUGGUGUAGCGGUGAAGUGCGCAGAUAUCAGGAGGAACACCGGUGGCGAAGGCGGGUCUCUGGGAAGUAACUGACGCUGAGAAGCGAAAGCAUGGGUAGCAAACAGGAUUAGAUACCCUGGUAGUCCAUGCCGUAAACGGUGGGUACUAGGUGUGGGGCUCCUUCCACGGACUCCGUGCCGUAGCUAACGCAUUAAGUACCCCGCCUGGGGAGUACGGCCGCAAGGCUA
This 372-nucleotide ribosomal RNA is filed under the name uncultured bacterium. RNAcentral's name for it is "bacterial SSU rRNA". It matches the Rfam family "Bacterial small subunit ribosomal RNA", at positions 527 to 896 of the family's 1533-position model. The record is from RNAcentral.